This 801-nucleotide ribosomal RNA is filed under the name Vibrio sp. Its description in RNAcentral is "bacterial SSU rRNA". It matches the Rfam family "Bacterial small subunit ribosomal RNA", at positions 113 to 910 of the family's 1533-position model. The record is from RNAcentral. Lineage: Bacteria; Pseudomonadati; Pseudomonadota; Gammaproteobacteria; Vibrionales; Vibrionaceae.
AUGCCUAGGAAAUUGCCCUGAUGUGGGGGAUAACCAUUGGAAACGAUGGCUAAUACCGCAUAAUGCCUACGGGCCAAAGAGGGGGACCUUCGGGCCUCUCGCGUCAGGAUAUGCCUAGGUGGGAUUAGCUAGUUGGUGAGGUAAUGGCUCACCAAGGCGACGAUCCCUAGCUGGUCUGAGAGGAUGAUCAGCCACACUGGAACUGAGACACGGUCCAGACUCCUACGGGAGGCAGCAGUGGGGAAUAUUGCACAAUGGGCGCAAGCCUGAUGCAGCCAUGCCGCGUGUGUGAAGAAGGCCUUCGGGUUGUAAAGCACUUUCAGUCGUGAGGAAGGUAGUGUAGUUAAUAGCUGCAUUAUUUGACGUUAGCGACAGAAGAAGCACCGGCUAACUCCGUGCCAGCAGCCGCGGUAAUACGGAGGGUGCGAGCGUUAAUCGGAAUUACUGGGCGUAAAGCGCAUGCAGGUGGUUUGUUAAGUCAGAUGUGAAAGCCCGGGGCUCAACCUCGGAAUAGCAUUUGAAACUGGCAGACUAGAGUACUGUAGAGGGGGGUAGAAUUUCAGGUGUAGCGGUGAAAUGCGUAGAGAUCUGAAGGAAUACCGGUGGCGAAGGCGGCCCCCUGGACAGAUACUGACACUCAGAUGCGAAAGCGUGGGGAGCAAACAGGAUUAGAUACCCUGGUAGUCCACGCCGUAAACGAUGUCUACUUGGAGGUUGUGGCCUUGAGCCGUGGCUUUCGGAGCUAACGCGUUAAGUAGACCGCCUGGGGAGUACGGUCGCAAGAUUAAAACUCAAAUGAAU